This 239-nucleotide long non-coding RNA is filed under the name Gossypium barbadense (sea-island cotton). Its description in RNAcentral is "long non-coding RNA (GBAR_LNC005588)". Lineage: Eukaryota; Viridiplantae; Streptophyta; Magnoliopsida; Malvales; Malvaceae. The record is from RNAcentral.
AUUUAGCCUGGAUAAGCUUCCUGUUACAUGGCUUAUAGGAGCAUUCCUAAUAUAUUGCUCGAGAGAGUGCUUCCUGAUUAUGUACUCUAAUAAGUACCUCUGAUUAUGAAUUGACAGAUUUCUGAUUUGUACACUUCGAGUGUACUACCUGCGUAUCCAUCGAUAUUUCAAAUAAAUUCAAUGGGCAAAAUUCUAACAUGAAAAAAUAUGAACAAGAAAUGAAUUAUUAUAAGCGUCUG